This is a long non-coding RNA of Catharus ustulatus (Swainson's thrush), 1308 nucleotides long. RefSeq lists it as uncharacterized. The transcript is spliced from 3 exons. The record is from RefSeq and is a predicted model, not a curated record. Lineage: Eukaryota; Metazoa; Chordata; Aves; Passeriformes; Turdidae.
UGAGGUGUAAUUUCCCUUGGGAGUGCUGGCUCCCGCUUACGGGAACCGAAGCUUUGGAAUGCAAUUUUUCCUGGUGGAGGUGAUUGGAUUUACGGGAACUAGCAUUGAUAUGGGGGAACUCCCAGGAACCUCCUGGCUGUCUGCUGCUGUUUGGGAUAAUGUGGGAGUUAAGCCCUAUGAUUUAGCUACUACGGGACAUGAACCGGCAAUGCGCAUGCUUCUGUCUUGGAGGGUGAUUUUUGAGACAUUAAAAAAGCAAGAGCAGUCUCAGGCUGUGUCUUCUGCAGAUGCUGCCGGCCCCCUGCUCCACUGACUCUCCCUGCCUGCUUGAAACUGGUGCCCCUGAUACUGAAGAGCAACCACAGCUAUCAACCCCUCCUCCACUCAGUCAAAGGAGGAGAAGGCAUCCAGCCUUAUAGUCGUUAGCAGCCUAUAUUGCUGACUGCAGCUCCAGCAGUGAGGAGGAGGGGUCUCCUUCAACCCAGGACAAGUAGAUCCAGAUGCUAAGCCUGACCUAUUCCCUCCUCACCCGCACGAAAACUGGAUGCAAUUAAAGGAAAAGGCUCCCAAGUAAAGGGGAUUUUGAUAUCACAGCAAAAAUAAUCAUGCCAGUCGUUUCACGGUGCCAGGGGAAGCAACCCACAGUGGGAACUACACUGCACAGCAAUAGAUAUGGCUGGGAUCUCUCUAUUUUGCUAAUCUUUUAUGGUAUAUAUUGUCAACUCAUGACCCCUCAUGAUUUAAAGGGACUGGUGAACUUAUUAUUAACCCAAAUUCAGUAUGCCAUUUUUGAUGCUCAGUUGAAAAAAGGGGUUAGAAGCUUUGCUUGUGCAAUUUGUGGGGCAUGCAAACCAGAGCGGACAGCAGCAAGCCUCAGAGCAGCUACCACAAGCAGCAUUUGCCAGACCAUCGCCUAUUUACAACCCGCCACACCAGGAAGCACUGGACUGGACCUGACAACCUCCCACACAGUAACAUUGCUUAAUUCAUCUGUUCAUUUGCUUCCCACAGGAGUUUUCAGACCACCAGGGCAAGGGGGACACUCUCUUGCCUGUCAGAACGAGGAGGAGAGAGGUUUUUUCUCUGCAGUCGGAUCUGCCCUGCAGCCCGGCCCUGCUGCAGCCUCCUGCUUCUGAGAACAGCGAUGAGAACCGGGACCCAAACGGUGAGCAGAGACUUCCUUCACCCUCUUCCCACCUGGGACACAGCCCUGUCGUCUCCACCUCCGCUGCUGCUGCUGCCACGGCUGCGAGGGGCCCGCCCCACUCUCCACCAGGACAGUGCGGAGAAGAGUGCCCGUGACUGGAA